UGCCAGCCGCCGCGGUAAGACGGAGGGUGCUAGCGUUGUUCGGAAUCACUGGGCGUAAAGGGCGCGUAGGCGGCUUUGGCAGUCGGAUGUGAAAGCCCGGGGCUCAACUCCGGAGGUGCAUCCGAUACUCCAAGGCUGGAGGUCGGAAGAGGAGGGUGGAAUACCCAGUGUAGAGGUGAAAUUCGUAGAUAUUGGGUGGAACACCGGUGGCGAAAGCGGCUCUCUGGUCCGAACCUGACGCUGAGGCGCGAAAGCGUGGGGAGCAAACAGGAUUAGAUA
This 279-nucleotide ribosomal RNA is filed under the name uncultured bacterium. Its description in RNAcentral is "partial 16S ribosomal RNA". It matches the Rfam family "Bacterial small subunit ribosomal RNA", at positions 506 to 784 of the family's 1533-position model. The record is from RNAcentral.